GCUCGGGAUGCUUCUUCAGCACUUGAGAAGGCCACAAAGCCUGAUCCUCUACUUACACCAUUUGGGUCACACAUAACCUUGCAUGAAGUUAUUGCACCGAAUUCUGAGAAUAAUUCCUUCAGUUUAUCGUCAGUGAUGCUAUCCUCUAGGUUCUUAACAUAUAGAUUCAAUCCUUCAAAUUUGUCAACCGUCUCCUUCAAAGUUUGCUCAAAACGCCCUUUUAAUUCCAUUUCUCUUUCAGAUUUUUUCUGUGCUUUCCCAACAUACCACUCCUUAUCAUCAAAUGUCUUCUCAUUAAGAGCCUCGACAGAUCGAGCUGCAUCAUCAGGAUUCUCAAAAUUGACAAAUCCAAAACAUUUGGACUUUCCAUCACCAUCUCUCAUAACUACAACACUAGUAAUAGUUCCAUAUUCACCAAAAAUCUUCUUCAAAUCCUCCUCAGUCGUUGUCUCUGACAAAUUCUUUACAUAAACAUUAUUGAAUUUUGUCUUAUCCAUAGCAGACUCUCUUUCCAGUUUGCGGAGGAAAGGUCCCACAUAAACUAGCUUGUCAUUCAGUAACAUGCCAUUCAAUUUAUCAAUUGCAUUUUUAGCAGACUCCUCAUUAUCAAAUUGUACAAAACCAUAUCCCAAAGACUGACCCGAAGAAUCAGUUACUACUUUGCAAGAUAAAAUAUUCCCAAAUGUGGAAAAUGUGUCAUGUAGAGCUUUGUUGUCAAUUGCCUUGUCCAAAUUCUUGAUAUAUAUAUUUCCCGCACCACUUUUACGAAUAGUAGGGUCACGAUGAGAAUACAUUAUCCUAAUUGGCUUGCCAUUGACAGGAGUGAAAUUCAUUACCUCUAAUGCCCGUGCCGCAUCAUGGAUGUUGCUAUAAUUGACAUAGGCAUAACCAAGGGACCUUUUAGUGGUCAAGUCCCUGCAUACCCGAAUCGAUACGACCUGACCCAUCUGAUUAAACAAAUCAUAAAGCUGAGUUUCAGUCACAUUGUGGUCAAGAUCCCCAACAUACAACGAGGUAGACACGAACUGGUUCACUCCAUUGCUUGCCACCCCAUUUGGAGCAGAAACCGGAGAUUGCGGUUGUACCUGAACCUGAGCCAUUCUCCAAAUUUCACACAACAAACAAACAAACCCAGAAAUGAAAAACAACAACAACAAAACCCUUAACUAAUGUUGUUGGAAAUGAAAACCAGUGACCAAAUAACCGUUUGAUAGGGAAUAUUUGGAUUUGGGUUUGUGAUUUUUGGGUUUUUGUUAGUAUUUUUCUUCUUUUUUUGAUAUGUGAUAUGUUGGCCGGAAAUUUCUCCCAAAAAUAGUGCCGUAGUUACAAGAGAGGUGAUAGUUUGAGUAGAUAGAAGAAUGGGCAGCACGAGCG
RNAcentral lists this unclassified non-coding RNA (1374 nucleotides) under Hevea brasiliensis (rubber tree). The record is from RNAcentral. Lineage: Eukaryota; Viridiplantae; Streptophyta; Magnoliopsida; Malpighiales; Euphorbiaceae.